This is a long non-coding RNA of Drosophila mojavensis, 788 nucleotides long. RefSeq lists it as uncharacterized. The transcript is spliced from 3 exons. The record is from RefSeq and is a predicted model, not a curated record. Lineage: Eukaryota; Metazoa; Arthropoda; Insecta; Diptera; Drosophilidae.
CUCCCCCUGCUGCCGCGCCUCCUUCGCACUAGGCUAACUGCUUUUCCACGCAUAAGCGCAAUUCUAAAAAAUUAAUGUCGCUUUCGUAAUUUCAGCACACAAAAAAACUGCCGACGCUGGCAGCGCAGCUAGCGUCAGCGCCAACAACAGCGCCAGCGACAGCAACAGCGACAGCGACAGCGAAUGUCUUAGUUAGCGAGAAAAAAAGGAGGAAGAAGAAGAAGCAGCAGCAGUAGCAGUUGAAAAAAAACAUUGCAGCUCGCUAGGGGCGAAAAAAUGGGAUCAAGCAAUACUGAGGCUGUAAUAUUCCAUAAUCAUGUAUGAAAACUGAUCUCAAUGAUUCCUAAAAGUGCAAGAAAUACUUUGAGUGACCUUGAGCGAGAUUGCAGAACAGGAGGAGAUGAGGCACUCUGCAGAACUAUCUCAAGUAACUCUCUAAUGGGCGUCUUACUUCAACUUGGCGGCGAAUCAAUCGAUACACGGCCGCAAUCCGUUGGCCAAUUCGCUGGGGACAAGGGCACAACAAAGCGCUGAAACCUUGACUCACGCUGGUCGGUGGAUGGGACUAUAGGACCAGCUGAAUACAUACAUACAGACAUAUAUAUUUAUACUUGAUUUUCCCAGGAAAUGUCUUUCCAUUUCUAAGCUAAUUGAAAAUAUUAAAAGAGUAAGGACUUAUUAUUUUAUGUAGGCCAUUCAAAUUUUGUCCUUUUUUCUUUAUGUAAUAUAUAUAUCCUAUGCGAAUAUAGCAUGAUCUCCAAAUAAAGUAUUUAUGUAUCCGUCGUAAA